AGUGUACUGAGCAUGUUAUAGUAGAAAGAAGACACAUUAUAGAAAUCUUAUACAUAAGAAUUUGGAUACCAAGAAAAAAAAUCUUUUCUCUAGUGAAACUAGAUCUGUAUGGAUAAUGGUUUGCUUUGAAUCUUUAACAAUACAGCCAAUCAACCUUACUGGUACAUCUGGUAACAGGUACAUCUCUUAUGGCUAAAAUGACCAGUGUGUGUGUUUUGUAUCAAGGAUAUGCAUGUUGUUGGUUUUGAAAAAAUGUUUGAUGUGACUGCCAAGGCUUUUUACAAAUCUUUUGUAUCACAUACAACUCAAUUUACUUCUAUUGGCUGGAAAUAUUUAAAGCAUGACAGUGGCGUAGGUAAAUUACCAAAUAGUGGAUCUUAUGUUGGAUUGAUCAGCCCUGAUGAACUGACCUGACCAUUGUAAUUGAAACCAUAACUCAUGACCACUCUAUCUGUAUAGGUCCUGGUAUACCCUGGGAUGAUGUUAACUUUUAACUUGAAAUCUUAAAGGAAGUUUUGCUAAACUAACAAGCAUGAAUGUCUGGUACAGUAAGAUAGGGUUAAUGGUCAACGUGACAUUAUGGUUCAUUCAUCGGGACAGCUAAUGUUUGUGUCUGACCAAGCAGUUCUCAAGUUAGGGCUUGAUGAAGUCUACAAACUGACCAUUAUAUCUACUGGACAAAAAAGGAUCUUAUUCUGACCCCCUCCCUCCCAACCAUUUCCUCUGCCUUAUCUUGAUGACUUUGACUUUAAUUAGACAUUAAAGCUUUCCAUGUGCUGAAAUUUAGCAUUGUAGAACGGGAAAUAAAUUGUCUAUGACAGUUCAAAGUGUGUAUACAUUUUUUUUUACGCACCCUGUAUAUAUAUUGUAUUCAGUGAUUUUUUUAUUUUACCAUUUUCUAAUAUUAGUUUGUUAGCUCAAUAACUAUUAACCUUUUAGAUCAGGGGCGGGCAACCUUUUUGUAUCGAGGGCCGCAUUAAAAAAAAUAUUGCGAAUGGCGGGCCGCAUAUGUAUAUACAACUUAGAGAGAUACUAUAGCUAAUAUAGAUAUUAUUUUAAAUAUAUUUGGAUUUUUAUAUGUAUAUACUGUGGGUACACCUGAUGUCUGUAGGUGUUGGCGGGCCGCAUAAAACACUCCAGCGGGCCGCAUGUGGCCCGCUCUCCGUAAUUUUCCCACCCCUGUUUUAGAUUGUUAUCUUUCGUAAUGUUAAGACUAGAAAACAAGAUCUCAAAAUUAUAUUUAGGAUGAUGAUUACAAUUACUUAGUCUUAGAUAAAAUAAUUAUGAAACAAAAGUUAUAUAAAGACAUAAUUAUACAAUGUUUAUGUUUUGUAUGUUCAUAAAAAUGUGUAUAGCAGUGUUAUGGAGUGUGUGUGUGGGUGUUUCUAAGGUAACCUUGAGAAAUUAGCGAUUGGUUGGUGGAUAUGCAGUGAGGAUGUUGAAAUUACAAAAAUGGUCUAGUGUAAUGCAAAUUACCCAGGGAUCUGAAACUGUACAGACAGGUUUUUUGUAGUGAGUUAGAUUUUGUUUAAAAUACCAUUUUAUAUUAUUGCUACUAGAUUUAUUUCAUUUCAUCUAGGUUAGUAUUAGGGUUAGUGUUAUGUUGUAAUAAAAGUUAUAUUUAGUUUUGUUUCAAAAAAGAAGUUUUUUCAAGUUUCACAAUUAAAUAUAUAUAUAUAUAUCCAAGCAGUAGUUCUCACCAAACUUUCAUACACUGGCAGAACUACCUUAAAAAAAUGUUCUGCUGGAGGCUGGUUUGGGUAGUAUAGAAGAAAUACUUAUCAUUCAACAGCUGUGAUGGGUUGGAAAAUUAUCCCACAUGGGGGGCGACUGCAUGCCAAAUGGCAUCUUCAAGGAUGGCGUAACGGGGUGCUCCUGUAAGCACUAUAAAGAUUAACUCAGGCACCUUUUUGCCAUAGAGGAAAGUAGGUUGUAAUAGGGUUUAUGAAAACACUGCACUCAUGGUAAUUUUGGUAAUGUCUUAGUGUUAAUGAUUAGAUUGAGAAUGGUAAUGUCGUAGUGCCAAUGAUAGCAGUGAGAAUGGUAAUGUAUUAGUGUCAUUUAUUAGAUUGAGAAUGGUAAUGUCUAGUGUCACUGAUAAGAUUGAGAAUGGUAAUGUCUUAGUGUCAAUGAUAACAGUGAGAAUGGUAAUGUCUUAGUGUCAAUGAUUAGAUUGAUAAUGGUAAUGUCUUAGUGUCAAUGAUUACAUUGAGAAUAGUAAUGUCUUAGUGCCAAUGAUAACAGUGAGACAAUCAUUAGAUUGAGGAUGGUAAUGUCUUAGUGUCAAUGGUUUAACACUAUGAUUAGAGUGAGAUGCACGAGAUGAUUUCAAUUCACGUGAAAAUGGGUCUUACACAUUGUCAAGCAAAGAGGUACCAUUUUUGAUCACAUGACCACGUUUUUUUUUGUUAAGUUAGCGCCAUGAUGUAUCAAGAGACGGAGGUGUCUCUGUUUUCUGAAAUUGGAUUAAAUAAUAUGAGUACCUAAUUGGAGCUUUUUCUAUGGAUGUAGUUUGUAUUUGAUGUGAAAUAAUUCGUGAUGAUAUUUUAUGGCUGAGAUUGCCUACUUUCUGAACUAUUAUUUGAUGUAAUAAAUAUUUGUCUGACA
Long non-coding RNA from Biomphalaria glabrata, 2607 nucleotides. RefSeq lists it as uncharacterized. Lineage: Eukaryota; Metazoa; Mollusca; Gastropoda; Planorbidae. The transcript is spliced from 5 exons. The record is from RefSeq and is a predicted model, not a curated record.